Molecule: long non-coding RNA, 1423 nt
Filed under: Anas platyrhynchos platyrhynchos (common mallard)
Lineage: Eukaryota; Metazoa; Chordata; Aves; Anseriformes; Anatidae
Description: lncRNA (ENSAPLG00000018033.1)
Source: RNAcentral
AGACUUGUGCAGAUCUCUUAAGGCCAGCCUUGCCUUUUUAUUAGGCUCUCUUUUAGAUAUCUAUUGUAUUUCUUUUUUAAAAUAGGAGUGAAAGAAUUCCUUGCCAGGAACGUAGUAGGUAAUUUAAAGAAUGAAAAUGAUGGAUAUAGAGACAUUACAUAGCUACUUAAAUAUAAAUAAGACACUGCAUCUUCAUCCAGAUACACUUGAUAUAGCAAUCAGACUUUCUUCCCUAAUAAACUCAGUGUAAGUCUGAGAGAUUGCAAAAGCCAUCAGAAAAUGAGACAUGCUACUUUGAUUGUUAAGUUCACUGCAACCCUACGGGCCUAAUUUCAUGUUAAUUUAUCUUGAUAUUACCUCAUUUCAAUUAAUGUGGUGAAAUAGUUGUAUAAUAUUACAUUUCAUAAGACUGCUUGCAAAAAAAAAGAAAAGUGAAUUAAAAAAAAUAAUCCUGGCAUAAUUUCUCUUGCCGUGUCAGUUAAAAACACAGCAAUUUUUCAUUUGCAUGUUUAAACAGCUCUUUUUCCAUGAAAAGGUAUGCUUAGAUCCCUGAAUUACAUAAAAUACAUCGGAAGUUGGGAAGCGUGUGUUGGAAGUUCAUUAAAGUUGAUCAGAUAUAACGGCUCCAGACAGAGGCAAAGAAUAACUCCAACCUACAAUAAAUUCUGGUACCAGAGAUGAGAUAUCUAAAUUCACUGCACUGUGACUCCUGCACACUAAACCAUGCCUGAUGGGUGGAUGUUGCUCUGACAGGUAUGUUUUAUGUGUUUAGAAUACAUUUGACAUGACUUCCUGAAGUUCACUCCCACCACUCUUUUCUCUGGACUUGUUGGUGUAUUUGCUCUCAUUUCAUGCUCUCUCUGCAAAGGUGAGUUCCUCCUUCUCUGUCCUUGCUAUAGCUCUUCUCACAAAAUCUCUCUCUGGCAAAGUUGUUGUCAGGAGAGUUAUUAUGUCAAGGACCAACCAGCCCUGAAAUCUGGUGAAAAUGUCUGUCUGCAUGUAUAGAUCUGCUGUUUGUGGUUGAGGGUAAAUUAACAUUCAGCUUGCAGUAUUUGAAAAGAAACCCUCUCUAAUCAUCCUGAAUUUAAUUUGACAGCAAGACCACAGGAGGUCCAGAGGUCAGUUACAGUAUAUAGGAGCAAGAAUAGCAUGCUGAAAAUUGGUGACCAAAACAGAUCUGGAAACAAAGCAGCUGUUUUCUAACAGUGACAAGGGCAUGAAGUGGGGUUGGAAAGGAUCCUGAAAAAGCUGAAAGAAGAAUCCAGUGGCCUUUUCUCAUGGGAAGGUGAAAGAUUUCCACUCAAGCGAGUCAUGUAGUCCUAUGAGGUAGGCACACGUUGAAAGAGGUAGGCUUUGGCACGCUUUUUCCAGUGCCCAGAGGUGGAAGAAGAGGAUGCCGAUUAAGAUCUAUAGAAAGGUUAAA